Molecule: long non-coding RNA, 292 nt
Organism: Eupeodes corollae
Lineage: Eukaryota; Metazoa; Arthropoda; Insecta; Diptera; Syrphidae
Exons: 3
Source: RefSeq, a predicted model, not a curated record
CCGUAAAUGCUAGAUAUGGUGGAAGUGCCCACGAUAGUUUUGUAUGGCGACAAAGUGAAGAGAGAGCGACAUUGGAAAGAAAUUAUUUAUCAGAAGGGAGAUCAUCAUGGCUGCUAGGAGACAGUGGCUAUCCCCUGGAGCCUUUCCUACUGACUCCUUAUAGAAAUGCCAGUAAGGAUUCUCGUGAACUCAACUUCAACUUUAUUCAUUCUCAGGCAAGAAGUAUCGUAGAACGAUGCAUCGGUCGCUUAAAAAGUCGAUGGCGUAUAAUUUUGGAAGAAAGAAAGUUAAG